Molecule: unclassified non-coding RNA, 691 nt
Filed under: Hevea brasiliensis (rubber tree)
Lineage: Eukaryota; Viridiplantae; Streptophyta; Magnoliopsida; Malpighiales; Euphorbiaceae
Source: RNAcentral
UUUUUUUAAUUUUUUUUUUUUUUGUUUUUUAGGGCUUUAGUUCCUCUCCGAGCUGCGACCUUUCUCUAUCUCUCCCGAGGUAGGAAACCACCUUCUUUCUCUCUCCUGAAGAGUGGAUUUCCCAUCCUGUGCGUAAAAUUAAGUUAUAAAUAUUAUUUUAGAUUUUUUAUGCAGGUCUAGUGCUUUUGAAGGAGGUUUUUAGUUUGGACUUGCUUUUGAUUCUUGAAUAUUCUUCAAUCUAUUAUGUGAGUUGGUUUAUUUGUGUUUCAUGACCGAGGUUGUUUCCAUGUUUAAUGUCAGUUGGUGUACUUGGGAGAAAGGAUUCAACUAUGAGUUUCAUGGCUAUGGGUCAUGUAUGUUUGAGCAUGUAGCUUCCAGUCCCUCUAUGGCUGUGAAAAAUGCCGAAAGCCCUACCUCAGCGUUGUAGAGCCCUUGUGAACAAUAUCCUACUUCGGCUUCGUAGAGAUGUAUGGCCUUUGCCUUUUCUGCAAAGGUUUCCUCUAGCCUUCAUUUGGACUUUUCUGGCGAUUAUUAUUUUUGGAGGUUAGGUUCCUUGGCUUGGGCUUCCUUAUUUAGCGACAUCUUGGAACAGCAAUGCAAGCAACUUUGUGUUUGUCUUCUUUGCCGUCCUUCAGGCCUAUACGGAUGGAUCCACCAAGUCCUAGGGUUUCUUCUGUAAAUGGGAUUUGGG